This 981-nucleotide ribosomal RNA is filed under the name Staphylococcus aureus. RNAcentral's name for it is "bacterial SSU rRNA". It matches the Rfam family "Bacterial small subunit ribosomal RNA", at positions 39 to 1002 of the family's 1533-position model. Lineage: Bacteria; Bacillati; Bacillota; Bacilli; Caryophanales; Staphylococcaceae. The record is from RNAcentral.
GCGGCGUGCUAUACAUGCAGUCGAGCGAACGGACGAGAAGCUUGCUUCUCUGAUGUUAGCGGCGGACGGGUGAGUAACACGUGGAUAACCUACCUAUAAGACUGGGAUAACUUCGGGAAACCGGAGCUAAUACCGGAUAAUAUUUUGAACCGCAUGGUUCAAAAGUGAAAGACGGUCUUGCUGUCACUUAUAGAUGGAUCCGCGCUGCAUUAGCUAGUUGGUAAGGUAACGGCUUACCAAGGCAACGAUGCAUAGCCGACCUGAGAGGGUGAUCGGCCACACUGGAACUGAGACACGGUCCAGACUCCUACGGGAGGCAGCAGUAGGGAAUCUUCCGCAAUGGGCGAAAGCCUGACGGAGCAACGCCGCGUGAGUGAUGAAGGUCUUCGGAUCGUAAAACUCUGUUAUUAGGGAAGAACAUAUGUGUAAGUAACUGUGCACAUCUUGACGGUACCUAAUCAGAAAGCCACGGCUAACUACGUGCCAGCAGCCGCGGUAAUACGUAGGUGGCAAGCGUUAUCCGGAAUUAUUGGGCGUAAAGCGCGCGUAGGCGGUUUUUUAAGUCUGAUGUGAAAGCCCACGGCUCAACCGUGGAGGGUCAUUGGAAACUGGAAAACUUGAGUGCAGAAGAGGAAAGUGGAAUUCCAUGUGUAGCGGUGAAAUGCGCAGAGAUAUGGAGGAACACCAGUGGCGAAGGCGACUUUCUGGUCUGUAACUGACGCUGAUGUGCGAAAGCGUGGGGAUCAAACAGGAUUAGAUACCCUGGUAGUCCACGCCGUAAACGAUGAGUGCUAAGUGUUAGGGGGUUUCCGCCCCUUAGUGCUGCAGCUAACGCAUUAAGCACUCCGCCUGGGGAGUACGACCGCAAGGUUGAAACUCAAAGGAAUUGACGGGGGACCCGCACAAGCGGUGGAGCAUGUGGUUUAAUUCGAAGCAACGCGAAGAACCUUACCAAAUCUUGGACAUCCUUUGACAACUCUA